CCCUCGUAUUGUUUACGCUUUCCUUAUAUUUUCCCAAGAUUUGUAUUUCAUCCCUACCACUAAUUUCCCAAUCGACCUACACUGCGCAUCUUGACUCCCCAGCAUUCGUCUCUUCGGCCAUUUUCACAGCUCCUCCGUCCACCGUAGCGUCGUCGGCCAACGACUUACCGACGGGAUUUGAGCGACGCGACUACGAGAUCAACAGUUUCCUUGCAUCAGAACUUCAACCCAUUGAAGAGCUACUUCGACAUUCUCUCUUCCAUCACUACCCAAUCGACGACAAUGGACAACUACGGCCAGUAGUGGGACUAUGUUCCCGAAUACCUACACAACACCGGUGGCUAUGCCUAGCAAAUGCAUUCUGUUGCAUCCGACCCCCAAACCCAUAGCUAGCGGUGCGGAAGGCUGCCAAAUGGAACUUAACAAAAUCUGAAAAACAGAAUUGCUGAAGCAAGAGAAUGCGUGAUGCAGCUAUACAACAGAAAGGAAUUUAAAUUAUAUUCAAUAGAACUCACCGGAGUGCAAGAUCUUCAUUACAACGUGCGAAAUGGUGACUGCUGAAGGCCACCGACACGGGAAAUGCUUCUCCACGAAAGGAUGGCAGCGUAUCACUGAGAUUUUCAACAGGACGACAGGAAAGAAUUGGACCACAUCGCAAAUGAAGAACUAUUGGGGAAAACUACGGGAGUAACAUAAACACCUGUUCGAGCUGCUGCGGAGCACGGGAAUUGAGUACCGCUCCAGCAUCGGUAAUAUCAUCACCCCUGAGCAUUGGUGGGAAUGCAAAAUCAAGGAAAACUUGAAGUAUGUGAAGUACAAGCACAUGGACUGCAGGGAGAUUUAUGACAUACGAAAAACUUUUCAGUGACACCGGAGACUUGUCUAAGUAUGCGUUAUCGCCGUCGAAGCUGUCGCGCCAUGGAUUCGACCUCGAUAAAGAUAGUGUCGAGACGAUGUCGGUGACAGGUUGCCAAUCAACGCGGAGUGAACCUAUUCUAGUGAUGGUCCGAAUGAAGGCAUAGAAAACUGAGCAUGGACAUUUCUGGGAGACGCAGUAGGGAUAAACGCAAAGGAAAACAACGCAGGGAGAAGGGAAAGAAGAAACGGUACAAUGCUCGAGAUGUUUUGACGUCGCUCGAGCAGAUGGUUAGCGUCGAAACGGAUCUUGCCUCAAUUGCAAGGUCACAUAGUAAAGGAGGAAUGUCAGUCGUCAAGUGUGUCGAAGAACUUCUGUCGUCCGGUUACGUGACGAAAGGUGAUGUGCUCCACCCGUUCAGCCUAUGGCUCCUCCGCGACAAAGAUAAUCAGAGUUCUUAUUAUGCUGCGAAAACACCACUUCUUUGCUUCAAGUUUGUGGAGUACUGCUUCGAGCGAGACAAUCUGAUGCAUCAACGAAAGGGGUGACUGAAUCGUCUUAUGCUUAUGUGGUGGUGGUGUUUAUUUUAUUUUCAUGCUUUUCACGUUCCGAACUUUUUUCUCCAUCCUAGGCGUGGGCAGAGCUGUAUCAUGAAAUUUGGCAGUAGACAAUUUUUUUGCCUCA
This is a long non-coding RNA of Olea europaea var. sylvestris, 1540 nucleotides long. RefSeq lists it as uncharacterized. The record is from RefSeq and is a predicted model, not a curated record. The transcript has 4 exons. NCBI's taxonomy places the organism in Eukaryota, Viridiplantae, Streptophyta, Magnoliopsida, Lamiales, Oleaceae.